AGUUGGAAUAGCUCAGUUGGUUAGAGCGUGUGGCUGCUAACCACAAGGUUGGAGGUUCGACCCCUUAUUCAUUU
Molecule: transfer RNA, 74 nt
Filed under: Zostera marina
Lineage: Eukaryota; Viridiplantae; Streptophyta; Magnoliopsida; Alismatales; Zosteraceae
Description: tRNA-Ser
Rfam family: tRNA
About the family: Transfer RNA (tRNA) molecules are approximately 80 nucleotides in length. Their secondary structure includes four short double-helical elements and three loops (D, anti-codon, and T loops).
Source: RNAcentral